RNAcentral lists this ribosomal RNA (500 nucleotides) under uncultured bacterium. RNAcentral's name for it is "partial 16S ribosomal RNA". It matches the Rfam family "Bacterial small subunit ribosomal RNA", at positions 29 to 523 of the family's 1533-position model. The record is from RNAcentral.
AUUGAACGCUAGCGGGAUGCCUUACACAUGCAAGUCGAACGGCAGCACGGACUUCGGUCUGGUGGCGAGUGGCGAACGGGUGAGUAAUGUAUCGGAACGUGCCCAGUAGCGGGGGAUAACUACUCGAAAGAGUAGCUAAUACCGCAUACGCCCUACGGGGGAAAGGGGGGGAUCGCAAGACCUCUCACUAUUGGAGCGGCCGAUAUCGGAUUAGCUAGUUGGUGGGGUAAAGGCCCACCAAGGCGGCGAUCCGUGGCUGGUUUGAGAAGACGACCAGACACACUGGGACGGAGAAACGACCCAGACGCCUACGGGAGGCAGCAGUGGGGAAUUUUGGACAAUGGGGGCAACCCUGAUCCAGCCAUCCCGCGUGUGCGAUGAAGGCCUUCGGGUUGUAAAGCACUUUUGGCAGGAAAGAAAUCGCAUGGGUUAAUACCCUGUGUGGAUGACGGUACCUGCAGAAUAAGCACCGGCUAACUACGUGCCAGCAGCCGCCGCCG